This 215-nucleotide long non-coding RNA is filed under the name Mytilus galloprovincialis (Mediterranean mussel). The record is from RNAcentral. Lineage: Eukaryota; Metazoa; Mollusca; Bivalvia; Mytilida; Mytilidae.
UAAUAUAUGUAUACGGAUAAAGUUAUGAAAGGCAGCAGGGUCACCAGGGUGAGGAAUCCAUGUCAUCUGAAAUAAAUACUAAGCAUAGAUCUAGAAAGCGACUGAUAAUCAUGACAUUAAAAAAACUCUCUUCUUAUCGACGUUUUUCGAACAAAUUGACACAUAAAAUGAAUUAUAUAGUAUUGUGGAAUUUUUAACUUGUGCUCAAUUCAUUG